RNAcentral lists this ribosomal RNA (496 nucleotides) under uncultured bacterium. RNAcentral describes it as "partial 16S ribosomal RNA". It matches the Rfam family "Bacterial small subunit ribosomal RNA", at positions 38 to 507 of the family's 1533-position model. The record is from RNAcentral.
GGGGGGGGGGGGGGGGGGGCUGGGGCGGUGGAGGCGGGGGGGCAGACGGGGAGCGUGCGCGUCUGGCGUUAGCGGCGGGCGGGUGAGUAACACGUGGAUAACCUACCUAUAAGACUGGGAUAACUUCGGGAAACCGGAGCUAAUACCGGAUAAUAUAUUGAACCGCAUGGUUCAAUAGUGAAAGACGGUUUUGCUGUCACUUAUAGAUGGAUCCGCGCCGCAUUAGCUAGUUGGUAAGGUAACGGCUUACCAAGGCGACGAUGCGUAGCCGACCUGAGAGGGUGAUCGGCCACACUGGAACUGAGACACGGUCCAGACUCCUACGGGAGGCAGCAGUAGGGAAUCUUCCGCAAUGGGCGAAAGCCUGACGGAGCAACGCCGCGUGAGUGAUGAAGGUCUUCGGAUCGUAAAACUCUGUUAUUAGGGAAGAACAAAUGUGUAAGUAACUAUGCACGUCUUGACGGUACCUAAUCAGAAAGCCACGGCUAACUACGUG